Molecule: ribosomal RNA, 303 nt
Filed under: uncultured bacterium
Lineage: Bacteria
Description: partial 16S ribosomal RNA
Rfam family: Bacterial small subunit ribosomal RNA
Source: RNAcentral
AGCAGUAGCCGCGGGAAUACGAAGGGGGCUAGCGUUGUUCGGAAUCACUGGGCGUAAAGCGCACGUAGGCGGACUUUUAAGUCAGGGGUGAAAUCCCAAGGCUCAACCUUGGAACUGCCUUUGAUACUGGAAGUCUUGAGUUCGGGAGAGGUGAGUGGAACUGCGAGUGUAGAGGUGAAAUUCGUAGAUAUUCGCAAGAACACCAGUGGCGAAGGCGGCUCACUGGCCCGAUACUGACGCUGAGGUGCGAAAGCGUGGGGAGCAAACAGGAUUAGAUACCCCAGUAGUCCCUGUCUCUUAUAC